Molecule: ribosomal RNA, 496 nt
Filed under: uncultured bacterium
Lineage: Bacteria
Description: partial 16S ribosomal RNA
Rfam family: Bacterial small subunit ribosomal RNA
Source: RNAcentral
GACGAACGCUGGCGGCGUGCCUAAUACAUGCAAGUUGAGCGAUGAAGAUUGGUGCUUGCACCAAUUUGCAGAGCAGCGAACGGGUGAGUAACGCGUGGGGAAUCUGCCUUUGAGCGGGGGACAACAUUUGGAAACGAAUGCUAAUACCGCAUAACAACUUUAAACAUAAGUUUUAAGUUUGAAAGAUGCAAUUGCAUCACUCAAAGAUGAUCCCGCGUUGUAUUAGCUAGUUGGUGAGGUAAAGGCUCACCAAGGCGAUGAUACAUAGCCGACCUGAGAGGGUGAUCGGCCACAUUGGGACUGAGACACGGCCCAAACUCCUACGGGAGGCAGCAGUAGGGAAUCUUCGGCAAUGGACGAAAGUCUGACCGAGCAACGCCGCGUGAGUGAAGAAGGUUUUCGGAUCGUAAAACUCUGUUGGUAGAGAAGAACGUUGGUGAGAGUGGAAAGCUCAUCAAGUGACGGUAACUACCCAGAAAGGGACGGCUAACUACGU